RNAcentral lists this transfer RNA (67 nucleotides) under Plectrocnemia tsukuiensis. Its description in RNAcentral is "tRNA-Pro". Lineage: Eukaryota; Metazoa; Arthropoda; Insecta; Trichoptera; Polycentropodidae. The record is from RNAcentral.
CAAAAUAUAGUUUAUGAAUAUAAAAUAAUAAUUUUGGAGAUUAUAGAAAUUUUAUUAAUUUUUUUGA